RNAcentral lists this ribosomal RNA (354 nucleotides) under uncultured bacterium. RNAcentral describes it as "partial 16S ribosomal RNA". It matches the Rfam family "Bacterial small subunit ribosomal RNA", at positions 338 to 690 of the family's 1533-position model. The record is from RNAcentral.
CCUACGGGUGGCAGCAGUGAGGAAUAGUGGUCAAUGGCCGGAAGGCUGAACCAGCCAAGUCGCGUGAGGGACGACUGCCCUAUGGGUUGUAAACCUCUUUUAUAAGGGAAGAAGAAAUGCUACGUGUAGCAUGAUGCCUGUACCUUAUGAAUAAGCAUCGGCUAACUCCGUGCCAGCAGCCGCGGUAAUACGGAGGAUGCGAGCGUUAUCCGGAUUUAGUGGGUUUAAAGGGUGCGUAGGCGGUUUUUUAAGUGAGUGGUUAAACGUCGGGGCUUCACCUUGAUUUGCCAUUCAUACGGUCAGACUCGAGUUCAGUCGAGGUAGGCGGUAUCCGUUCCGUAGCGGUGCACUGCU